UUUAUCGCUUCCCUACAUAUAUUAAACCACCAUCGGCAAACUGUUUGUCAGGUUGAGCUCGGUUUUCUGUGCUGCCGAAUACUACGAGACCAGUCAAAGCCUUUAUGGCAUAAUUAUGGCUUAUGUGCCCGGUUGUUGGCACAUAGCCGCUUUAUUGUUUUAAUCAAUUUUUAAUAAUUAACAAGAAAAAUUAUUAAUUAAUAACUAUAUAAUAUUUAGCACAGAAAAGGUGGGGGCAUUACUAACGCCCACUACACAUAACGUAUCUAUAUAAGUUCAACAUAUCGCGUCCAACAACGGGGAGGAGGGUGGGUAAUUCUCUUCCAUCCAAUUUCUUGAUGUGAACUGCAGCCCUCGUGGAAUAGGAAAGGACAGAUAGCCCGCUUCACCACUGAUAAAUACCGAAAUUUCCAGUCACGUGACUAUACCUAAAUUAACUUGCGCGCGCAAAUUACUUAUUUUCGCAUAAUUAAUUUCAACUAUAAAUUAUUCCGGGAAGCAAUAAAAACUCUUAUCGCUGUGGCAAUAAGUUCCUUUAUCGCUUCCCUACAUAUAUUAAACCACCAUCGGCAAACUGUUUGUCAGGUUGAGCUCGGUUUUCUGUGCUGCCGAAUACUACGAGACCAGUCAAAGCCUUUAUGGCAUAAUUAUGGCUUAUGUGCCCGGUUGUUGGCACAUAGCCGCUUUAUUGUUUUAAUCAAUUUUUAAUAAUUAACAAGAAAAAUUAUUAAUUAAUAACUAUAUAACAUUUAGCACAGAAAAGGUGGGGGCAUUACUAACACCACAAGUCUCCUUGGGAUAAAGGAGACACACCCCACCCCAACAUGACAAAUCGUUUGCAGAUGAUCGUGAAAAAAUAUCUACAUAUACUGAUACCAUAUGUUACGAAAACCUCAAUCUAUGUCAGUUUCACUGCACAUGCUAUUGUCAGUCAAAAGCAAUGAACUUGCACUGGUCUACAUAAUAGCAGUACUAUCAAUUACCUAGUUGACUAUAUACUAUAUACAAGCCUCUACUGAAAUAAAUAUGAUCAGCUGAAAUGUGAACUUUACCCCUGUGUCAGUUCAAUAUCCAACCGAUCACGAAUACGUGUCGCCAGAUGCGAUAAAAUACCAGUUUCUAGCGAAAUAACUAUCAUCAGCUGAAAUGUGAACCUUACCCCUGUGUCAGUUCAAUAUCCAACCGAUGACGAAUAAGUGUCGCCAGAGGCGAUAAAAUACCGUAUUAUACCAGUUUCUAGCGAAAUAAAUAUCAUCAGCUGAAAUGUAAACCUUACCCCUGUGUCGGUUCAACGUCCAGCGAUGACGAAAAAGUAAGAUAAAAUACCUAGGUAAUCGCCAGUUUCGGGCGAAAUAAACAUGCAUGAUCAGCUAAAAUGUGAACCUUACCCCUGUUUCAGUUCAACAUCCAGCCGGCAAUGACGUUUGAGAAAAACAAAACAUUUGUUGUACAUACUGUUAUUAACAAACUGGAUAAAUUAAAUUUAGAAACGUGAAUUGAGGUUAUAUAUAUGAUAGUCGAUCCGGAAUGACUGUUGGUGAUGAAUGAACAUUGGCCGAUGCAAGCUGUGUCAACGUAGAAACCUUUAUCCGAGAUACAGGAUUCCCUGAAACACUUUUUAAUCCCGAUAUGUGCCGCGAGUAUACGAAAUAAAGAUAUACUUAAUGCUAUUAAUUAAAAACAAGCAAGCACCAGUUUACGUACAAAUAUCAUAACAGUCGAAUCCCAAAAUGGAACCGAAUAGCCUUAUUAUAAUAUCAACCAAUGCAGCAUCAUCUGUUAAGAACGUUAUACGCUGAAUUACCACCGCCUCGCAAAUUGCCGAGUGCGAGUAGGGUAUAGCGACUAUGCUGGGCCGAUCGGAUGCAUUUUGUAAGAUCGUAUUAAAGAUCAACAAGCCGUCGUAACAAGGCACGACGUGGCACGACCACAUGCAAAACUAAAUUAAUUAAGCAAGGCAAUCGAGGAUUGGAUUACCUUUUUACGCAAGUGACUUAAUUUAAAUUCCGCAGUAAUAAAUAGCGCUGUCAU
This 2031-nucleotide long non-coding RNA is filed under the name Paramuricea clavata. The record is from RNAcentral. Lineage: Eukaryota; Metazoa; Cnidaria; Anthozoa; Malacalcyonacea; Plexauridae.